UUUAAAUGUGAACAUCUGUAGUGCCAGCUACUUGGGAAACUGAGGCAGGAGGAUUGCUUGAGCCCAGGAGUUCAAGCCUGGCCUGGGCAGCAGAGCAGGAUUCUGUCUCAA
RNAcentral lists this small RNA (111 nucleotides) under Marmota monax (woodchuck). Lineage: Eukaryota; Metazoa; Chordata; Mammalia; Rodentia; Sciuridae. The record is from RNAcentral.